Molecule: ribosomal RNA, 254 nt
Filed under: uncultured bacterium
Lineage: Bacteria
Description: partial 16S ribosomal RNA
Rfam family: Bacterial small subunit ribosomal RNA
Source: RNAcentral
UACGAAGGGGGCUAGCGUUGCUCGGAAUUACUGGGCGUAAAGCGCACGUAGGCGGCUUUCUAAGUCGGGGGUGAAAUCCUGGAGCUCAACUCCAGAACUGCCUUCGAUACUGGCGAUCUUGAGUCCGGAAGAGGUGAGUGGAACUCCUAGUGUAGAGGUGGAAUUCGUAGAUAUUAGGAAGAACACCAGUGGCGAAGGCGGCUCACUGGUCCGGUACUGACGCUGAGGUGGCGAAAGCAUGGGGAGCGAACAGG